Molecule: ribosomal RNA, 321 nt
Filed under: uncultured eukaryote
Lineage: Eukaryota
Description: partial 18S ribosomal RNA
Rfam family: Eukaryotic small subunit ribosomal RNA
Source: RNAcentral
CCCUUAGAUGUUCUGGGCCGCACGCGCGCUACACUGACACAGGCAACGAGCUUUCCUUUACCGAAAGGUAUGGGUAAUCUUUUGAAACUGUGUCGUGCUGGGGAUAGAUCCUUGCAAUUUUUGAUCUUAAACGAGGAAUUCCUAGUAAGCGCGAGUCAUCAACUCGCGUUGAUUACGUCCCUGCCCUUUGUACACACCGCCCGUCGCUACUACCGAUUGAAUGUUCUGGUGAGCUCUUCGGACUGCGCGGUCUGCAGUUUCUGCGUUCCGUGCGGAAAGUUGCGCAAACCUUAACAUUUAGAGGAAGGAGAAGUCGUAACA